This 75-nucleotide transfer RNA is filed under the name Marmota monax (woodchuck). RNAcentral describes it as "tRNA.Ala". Lineage: Eukaryota; Metazoa; Chordata; Mammalia; Rodentia; Sciuridae. The record is from RNAcentral.
UUAGGGUUGUGGCUCAGUGGUAGAGCGCUUGCCAGGCAUGUGUGAGUCACUGGGUUCAAUUCUCAGUACCAUAAA